This 2167-nucleotide long non-coding RNA is filed under the name Daphnia pulex (common water flea). RNAcentral describes it as "uncharacterized LOC124190778, transcript variant X2". The record is from RNAcentral. Lineage: Eukaryota; Metazoa; Arthropoda; Branchiopoda; Diplostraca; Daphniidae.
CCUGCGGAAGGAAACCGGAAGAGAAGAAAAAAAAAUGAUUUGAUAUUUCUUUCAAUAUAAAAACAGGAAAAUUGGAUGGAAAGAAGCUCUUCCCCCCCUCUGCUUCCUUCCCGUCUACAACAUUUAUCGAUCCAUCUUGAUCGAUCGACGACGAUCGGAAAAAAAAACCUGCCGACAGUUUUGAGUGACGUGCUGCUCGUCUCGGUCCCUCCUUGUCUAAUAAUCGGAUCUGGCGGCUCCUUUUUGACUUGGCUCACGCUUCAUUUCACAACUGGAAGGUGCGGAUUAUAGAACAACGUACACACAGCAGCAGCCAGCCAGCCAGCAGGAGUGUGUUGGAAAGGCCCCGUUAUUGUUUCCACCGUCAGUGCGUUAAUCAGGUUCUCUCUUUUGUAGAGCGUUGAAAAAUGCUAAUUUAGUUAUAUCUUAGAGAGUUCUAGAUAUAUAUAUUUCUUUAUUGCGGGUUUUUGGGUUGUUGUGAGCAUUGCUCUGAAUUCAAUGGCCGGCUGCUGCGGUUUGUGUAAUAACCUCCGUAACUUUUGUUUCCAGCGUUCGUGCUCGGACUAUUUAUUCGAUGCUAUACAAAGUUGGAAGAAGAAGAAAAAAAGGGGCCGGACAUUUUCGGUCGUCUUAUGCAAAUACUACUACGCCGCACAGUCGAGAAGAAGAAGAAAAGACAAAGAAUAUCAUUUGUCUGUUCUUCUUCUUUUUAUUCAAAUGCUGCAAACGUAAAAGGGAAAGAAAAAUGCUGGAUGGGCCGUUUUGAUAUUUCCUUGUGAGCGUCUUUUUUUUGGCAUCGUGACCCAUCGCCACCAGAUGCCAAACUGCCGUCCGCUUUUUUCUUUCUCUUUUGCGCUGACUUAUCGAUCGAUAUUUAUAUAGUGAGCGGAGAGGGGGGUGAGUCAGAGCUUUUUAGAUGUCGAUCGAUCCAUCAGUCGUGUAGUGACGGGCCCAGGUGAAUUGCAUUUGCAACCGAGAGAAAGAGGAGCCGGGCAUCAGGAGCAGAAAUGAAGCUCACAAUUCGAUUUUCGUUUUGCUCGCUAGCCAUUCGAGUUCCGUUCCUUUGAGUGCCAACGAUCAAAGAAGCUCCGGUGAUUGCCAAUCGUUUUUCUCCAGUCUGUGACGUAGUAGUCGACGAUCGAUCGGCCAAACAUAUAAUCUCUCUCGCACAAGAAUAGGAGGGAUAGGAAACUGGAUCGACUUGACAUCUGCCAGUGUCAAUUAUAAUCCUCUACAACUUUCCCUCUUUUUAUAUUUUUUAAAAGUUUCUUGGCGUCGGGACGACGGGACGCCAGUCAAGGAUAUCAUUUAACAAACAUACAGGGACCUUCUCUCUUAUAUAUUUUUCUGCGUGUAUCGAAUGUGCUGGAGCGUGAAAAAUCGUGUCGGUUAUAUCACGCCGAGUCGUCAGUAAAUCAAUCGCCGAUCCAUGAAAUGUGAAAUGGACAACAACAACAACAACUUGAAAAAAAGAAAAAAACUGGAACACUGGGAAAUUUAAAUUUUUUUGUUUUUUAAAUUUGUUAUGUAAUCCGGUCCUCGCUGACAGCUGAUGUGCCCAGCCAAAAAAAACGAGAACAACAGCAGCAGAACACACACCUGAGACGUCAUUUAUUAUCCUUACAAGAGAGAAAGUUGUGAUGGCCGCCUCUCUCUCGACCAAUAUGGCCAGGCAGCAAGGAUCGGCUGCUAGCUGCCUACUCCGUGCAUAUGAUGGAUGCGCUGCGGAGGCGAAUGAUCGACACACACACUGGGGCAUUAUUAUUUCACGAGGUGAGUCAUCAUCUUGUACAUCAAAAACAUCUUUUCUCUAUUCCAGCUACUAGCUAGCUAGCCAGAGAAAAGGUGUCACUUUCUUUUAAUCUUUUCUGUCCACACACACAAACUGUGACACGUUCUGAUGUUUAUUCAAUUUUUAUCUUUGCGGUUUUUUUUUGUAUUAAAACGGUGAGACUGGCCUUGUGAAUAUUUUUCGUGUCCUUGCAAUCGGGUCAAGGCGCCAGGCAGUUGUUUUCUUUUUUUUUUCUUUAGACUGAAGACUGACCAUAUUAGCGUUUAUGCCUUUAACAUGUUUCGCUAUCUUGUAUUUAUGUUUCCAAACGAGCUGCUGGUUUGGUUGGCUUGCACGCGACUUUCUACAGCGUGGAGAUUCUUCUGCUUUUAUUCG